UAGUAACUGCGAGUGAAGCGGGAAAAGCUCAAAUUUAAAAUCUGGCGGUCUUUGGCCGUCCGAGUUGUAAUCUAGAGAAGUAAUGCCCGUGCUGGACCGUGUAUAAGUCUCCUGGGAUGGGGCGUCAUAGAGGGUGAGAAUCCCGUCUUUGACACGGACUACCAGUGCAUUGUGGUAUGCUCUCAAAGAGUCGAGUUGUUUGGGAAUGCAGCUCAAAAUGGGUGGUAAAUUCCAUCUAAAGCUAAAUAUUGGCGAGAGACCGAUAGCGAACAAGUACCGUGAGGGAAAGAUGAAAAGAACUUUGGAAAGAGAGUUAAACAGUACGUGAAAUUGCUGAAAGGGAAACGCUUGAAGUCAGUCGCGUUGGCCGGGGAUCAGCCUUGCUUUUGCAUGGUGUACUUUCUGGUUGACGGGUCAGCAUCAAUUUUGACCGCUGGAAAAGGGCCUGGGGAAUGUGGCAGCUUCGGCUGUGUUAUAGCCUCUGGUCACAUACGGCGGUUGGGAUUGAGGAACUCAGCACGCCGCAAGGCCGGGUUUCGACCACGUUCGUGCUUAGGAUGCUGGCAUAAUGGCUUUAAGCGACCCGUCUUGAAACACGGACCAAGGAGUCUAACAUGCCUGCGAGUAUUUGGGUGAAAAACCCGAGUGCGUAAUGAAAGUGAAAGUUGAGAUCCCUGUCAUGGGGAGCAUCGCACGCCCGGACCAGAACUUUUGGGACGGAUCCGCGGUGGAGCAUGUAUGUUGUGACCCGAAAGAUGGUGAACUAUGCCUGAAUAGGGUGAAGCAGAGGAAACUCUGGUCGAGGCUCGUAGCGAUUCUGACGUGCAGAUCGCAUCGUCAAA
This 842-nucleotide ribosomal RNA is filed under the name Agaricus punjabensis. RNAcentral describes it as "partial large subunit ribosomal RNA". It matches the Rfam family "Eukaryotic large subunit ribosomal RNA", at positions 81 to 909 of the family's 3401-position model. The record is from RNAcentral. Lineage: Eukaryota; Fungi; Basidiomycota; Agaricomycetes; Agaricales; Agaricaceae.